AUGUGGUUAUGACGCGUCUUUAUCAGCUGAUGGAUGAAGGCGUGGCUCACCUGUCAGAUUUGACGGGUGAGUCACGCCCUCUGCUGUCAGUUCACCUCUCCAGAAUGCUGUUCCAGGUUGUAGAGAGCAUGUAGGCUCCUUGGUCCCUGUUGAUGGUCCUCGGGCCCCGCUUGCGGAUCUCAAUGGCCUCCCUGAUCCAACGCUGAUGUUUGUUUUCUUCAGUGCGGAUGACUCUGGCUUUUCCCAGUCCAUGAUGUGGUUUUCUCUUUUACAGUGGUCGGUAAUGGCUGACUUGUAGUGUUCCUGUUCUGCUUGUAGUUUUAUUGCUCUUGUUUGUCUUGUUGCUGACAGCAGACAGUACACUCAAGAAACGCACAAAUCUAACAGCACAGGACAUCACCCAACUACUUCAUUUUACCGCCACCUCCACAUACUUUCAAUACAGAAACACAAUUUACAGGCAAAAAGAGGGAUUCCCCAUGGGAGACCCUCUUUCUGCCAUGAAGUGCAAUUUCUUUAUGGAGGAUUUAGAACAGAAGGCACUCUUAACAGCCCCGGACACAUACAAACCCACGCUAUGGAGACGCUACGUCGACGACAUUCUAGAAAAAACAAAAACAGGACAUACACAACACCUCACAGACCAUCUCAUAGACACCACCGGCAACAUCAAAUUCACUCAUGAAGAAGAAACAGAUCAAUCCAUAGCCUUUUUAGACAUCAACAUACACCACACAGACAACGGAGACAUAAAAACAAAAGUACACAGAAAAUCCACACACACUGACCAAUACCUCCUCUGGACAUUAGAACAUCCCACUAUACAUAAACUGUCAGUAGUCAGAACACUAUACGAAUGCACAACAAUAAUCACGGAUCCGGAGGACAUAACACAGAAAGAAAAAUACAUACAACAUGCACUCAAAAAGUGUCAGUAUCCACAAUGGGCAAUAACCAAAGGUGCAGAACAGGUAAAAAACACAAAACACAGGAGGAAAGAAAGAAACAAACACGGAAACAAGAACCCAGCGGAAUGGUGACGUUGCCGUAUGUGAGAGGAAUUACGUAACGCAUCAAAAGAGCCAUGAAAAAAUACAAUAUAAGCAUGCCUAUCACACCACAUACAACACUCCGUCAGAUACUGGUCCACCCAAAAGACAGAGUCAACCUGGAAAAAAAAUGUAAUUCUAUAUACGAGAUUCCAUGCAAAUCAUGCAAUAAUUCAUACAUCGGGGAGACAGGGACGAAUUUCAUCACAAGAAAACCAGAACCAGGGCUCGAAACUAACGAUUGCCCGAUUGCCCGGGGCAAGUAGCGAUGGCAGACGGGCAAGUAGAAUUUUUUCCUCACUUGCCCGAACUUGCCCUGCCAUAAUACCAUGUUUUCAAGCUGUAAAAAGACGAUUUUGUGCAUAAUUUCUCGCAACUUCUGCCGCUUCUGGUCCGACAUUUUGUUUUCUAGGGAGCGGUUAGUUUCUCGUGUAAGUCUGCAAUACAUUGAUAACGGCAAAGCGCUUCGUAAUUAAAUGCAUGCUCUCUCACCCGUCCCUGGCUCUUCUGCGCCUGCGCACCAGCAGAGCUUGUUUCCGGUUGGCGGAUACGAAGGCAUAUGAAGGCAAAACUUAUAGUGUUGUCUUUUUUAUUGCAAAAAUGUGUCGGGCAAGUAAAAAUCCACUCCAAAAAAAUUCGGGCAAGUAAAAUUUUGUUUCGGGCAAGUAAAAUUUUCUCCAACUUGCCCGAGGGCAACUUGGGCAAAAAAUAAGCUUCGAGCCCUGCAGAACACAAAAAGGAAUGUGAGAAGGAGACAGCAACAAGACAAACAAGAGCAAUAAAACUACAAGCAGAACAGGAACACUACAAGUCAGCCAUUACCGACCACUGUAAGAGAAAACCACAUCAUGGACUGGGAAACGGCCAGAGUCAUCGGCACUGAAGAAAACAAACAUCAGCGUUGGAUCAGGGAGGCCAUUGAGAUCCGCAAGCGGGGCCCACGGACCAUCAACAGGGACGAGGGAGCCUACAUGCUCUCUACAACCUGUAACAGCAUUCUGGAGAGGUGAACUGACAGCAGAGGGCGUGACUCACCUGUCAAAUCUGACAGGUGAGCCACGCCUUCAUCCAUCAGCUGAUAAAGACGCGUCACAACUACAUCAGUGACACUCUGAUGAAGGCGGAAGAACCCGCCGAAACAUGUCAGGUUUUGCAGAAAAUCUCAAAGCGGACAGAGUCCGUUUGUUGGAACCGCGCAAGCAGCUCCUCGCAAUCCGAGCGAACUUGUUGGUUCCACGCCGAAUUCAUCGUCAAACUACAAUUAUUAAAAUUCGCUAAUGGCGACUAUACAUUUUAAAAAGAGUUAUCUUUUCAUUUGCUUAUUUAAAGACAGCGCGUUGCUAUGCGAUUUACUGUAACGUUGGCUAAACGACACGUACGUGCGCCGGGGUCCCUUUUCUAUGACGUCAUCGUCAGGAUGCACCGAAACCUUUUUUUUUUAAUGCUUUAUUGAACAAAUAUGACAAUUAACAUUGAAUGUCCAAACUUUUUGCUAGGAGGGCUAGAUUUAAUAAAGUGAAGGGGCCCGGAGGCCAAUAGUUUUUUGGGAAAUUUAACUACAAAAAUUUCAUGCAAAUACACACUGUUAUAAAACAAA
Long non-coding RNA from Syngnathus typhle (broad-nosed pipefish), 2646 nucleotides. RefSeq lists it as uncharacterized. The transcript is spliced from 2 exons. The record is from RefSeq and is a predicted model, not a curated record. NCBI's taxonomy places the organism in Eukaryota, Metazoa, Chordata, Actinopteri, Syngnathiformes, Syngnathidae.